This 216-nucleotide long non-coding RNA is filed under the name Daucus carota (carrot). RNAcentral describes it as "long non-coding RNA (DCAR_LNC004364)". Lineage: Eukaryota; Viridiplantae; Streptophyta; Magnoliopsida; Apiales; Apiaceae. The record is from RNAcentral.
UUUCAGGGGAGGGCGGCCCAAAUUAAUUUUUAUCUAGAUAAUAAGAAAUUUUCAAUUAGUAUUAUGUUUGACGGGAAAGCGGCUAAAAUAAAUUUUUAUCUAAGUUACAAUAUUUUUUUUAUUCAAACGGGACCACAACUUAAAAUAAUUUUUAUCCGAUUAUAAUCUUUAACUUUAUCAUAAUUAUAAUAAUUUUUAUUAUUAUUGUGUUUGACG